Molecule: ribosomal RNA, 205 nt
Filed under: Ceratocystiopsis sp.
Lineage: Eukaryota; Fungi; Ascomycota; Sordariomycetes; Ophiostomatales; Ophiostomataceae
Description: partial small subunit ribosomal RNA
Rfam family: Eukaryotic small subunit ribosomal RNA
Source: RNAcentral
AACGAGCCCUGACCCUGCUAAAUAGCCCCCGUUGCUUCGGCAGCGCGCUGGCUUCUUAGAGGGACUAUCGGCUCAAGCCGAUGGAAGUUUGAGGCAAUAACAGGUCUGUGAUGCCCUUAGAUGUUCUGGGCCGCACGCGCGCUACACUGACGGAGCCAGCGAGUUUUUUCCUUGUCCGAAAGGUCUGGGUAAUCUUGUGAAACUC